This 253-nucleotide ribosomal RNA is filed under the name uncultured bacterium. RNAcentral's name for it is "partial 16S ribosomal RNA". It matches the Rfam family "Bacterial small subunit ribosomal RNA", at positions 524 to 776 of the family's 1533-position model. The record is from RNAcentral.
GACGAACCGUGCGAACGUUGUUCGGAAUCACUGGGCUUAAAGGGCGCGUAGGCGGGCCGCAAAGUCAGGGGUGAAAUCCUCCAGCUCAACUGGAGAACUGCUUUUGAUACUGGCGGUCUUGAGUGGGGUAGGGGCAUGCGGAACAAUGGGUGGAGCGGUGAAAUGCGUUGAUAUCAGGAGGAACACCAAUGGCGAAGGCAGCUCGCUGGGACGUGACUGACGCUGAGACGCGAAAGCGUGGGGAGCAAACAGG